UACGGGGGGGGUAAGCGUUGUUCGGAAUUACUGGGCGUAAAGGGCUCGUAGGCGGCCAACUAAGUCAGACGUGAAAUCCCUCGGCUUAACCGGGGAACUGCGUCUGAUACUGGCGAGCUUGAGUGCAGGAGAGGAACGCGGAAUUCCAGGUGUAGCGGUGAAAUGCGUAGAUAUCUGGAGGAACACCGGUGGCGAAGGCGGCGUUCUGGACUGCAACUGACACUGAGAGACGAAAGCCAGGGGAGCAAACGGG
RNAcentral lists this ribosomal RNA (253 nucleotides) under uncultured bacterium. Its description in RNAcentral is "partial 16S ribosomal RNA". It matches the Rfam family "Bacterial small subunit ribosomal RNA", at positions 524 to 776 of the family's 1533-position model. The record is from RNAcentral.